Molecule: long non-coding RNA, 356 nt
Filed under: Arabidopsis lyrata
Lineage: Eukaryota; Viridiplantae; Streptophyta; Magnoliopsida; Brassicales; Brassicaceae
Description: long non-coding RNA (ALYR_LNC002700)
Source: RNAcentral
AUUGGUUUAUUAAUGUAAUAAUUUUUUUCUGAUGGAUUUCCGAAAUAGUUGGGGGCGAAAGCCCAUGUUUCAUUGUGCGUUGUCCAGGAUGGGUCAUUGACAGAAGCACCAACGUGCCCAUAAUAUACUUCGCAACAGCUCUCUGGAUUCAUUGAAAAAGUCAUAAGAGCUCGGAUGUCCUCUUUGUGUUACGCACCUGACUCAACGAAUGGUAUAUAUAUGGAUUCUCACUCACUGAUGAUGCUUUGUUCCUGACGUCGUCUCUGUUUUCUAUAAGCUAUGUUUCGAUGCCUCUGUUUUAUGUCUUUUGAUCUCUUGAAACAGGCCGACCCAAUCAUAUUUGCUGCCCAAAAUGA